UGGGGAAUAUUGGGCAAUGGAGGAAACUCUGACCCAGCGACGCCGCGUGCGGGAUGAAGGCCUUCGGGUUGUAAACCGCUUUCAGUAGGGAAGAANCGAAAGNGACGGUNCCUACAGAANAAGCACCGGCUAACUAUGUG
Molecule: ribosomal RNA, 140 nt
Filed under: uncultured bacterium
Lineage: Bacteria
Description: partial 16S rRNA
Rfam family: Bacterial small subunit ribosomal RNA
Source: RNAcentral